RNA transcript from Rosa chinensis, 1341 nucleotides. It is a transcript of the gene named PRA1 family protein F2, with no coding region annotated. The transcript is spliced from 2 exons. NCBI's taxonomy places the organism in Eukaryota, Viridiplantae, Streptophyta, Magnoliopsida, Rosales, Rosaceae. The record is from RefSeq and is a predicted model, not a curated record.
AAACGGCGUCGUAGCAGAGCGCUCCAAAACGCGCUCGUUUUGCCUUUUCCAUCUAGUUCACCGAGCACAAAUAUCAGAAACAGCCCACACAGUCUUCCACAAAGCAAAGCAGUUACAGAAACGUCUCUCUUUCCCUUUCUCUACUCUAUGAUUCUGAUUCCAAAUCCCCAUAUCAAAUUUCUUGCCUUUUCUCUCAGACUCUCCUAGGGUUUAAUUGAGCUUCAUCUCCAACCUCCAAUCUCUCUCAUUUCCCUCCUCCAAUGUCUUCCUCCAAUUCCAAAGCCGCCCCCUACGGCACCCUCCCUCCCCCCGCCGCCGCCGCCGCCGCAUACACAACCCCAACCACGACGUUCUCACGCGCCAGAGACGCCACCCAGGCCGUCUUCGCCACGCGCCGCCCGUGGCUCGAGCUGGUCCAGCCUUUCUCCAGCUUCACGCGCCCGGACACUUUUGGCGCGGCCACGCUCCGAAUCAAGAGCAACCUCAGCCACUUCCGGGUCAACUACGCCAUGGCCGUCCUCUUCAUCCUCUUCCUCAGCCUCCUCUGGCACCCCGUCUCCCUCAUCGUCUUCCUCCUCGUCUUCGUCGCCUGGUUCUUCCUCUACUUCUUCCGCGACGCUCCCCUCGUCCUCUUCAAUUGGAUCGUCGACGACCGCAUCGUCCUCGCCGUCCUCGCCCUCGUCACCGUCGUCGCUCUCGUCUUCACCAGCGUCUGGUUGAACGUCCUCGUCUCCAUUCUCGUUGGGAUCGCGCUCGUGCUGUUACACGCGGCGUUUCGGGGCACUGAGGAUUUGUAUAGGGAUGACCUAGAAGGCGGCGGCUUGUUUUCGGUCGUGGGCAGCCCCACCCGUGAUGGCUACACCGGCUUCUAGCUCAUUCUCUCCAUUUUGGGUACCCUUUUGUGCCAAGAAUUGAUCUUUGAUUCGGAGGAGCAGUUCAUUUUGGCAUUGGUGUUGCAGACUUUGAAGGCUGGAUGAUGAGGAAGCUACACCAUCUCCUUCUAGUGUAGAGAUGCAAUGCUUUGGGUUUUUUAAUCCAUGUGACGGAAGUCUUUGAAUUGAUUACUGGAAAAGGGAAAGCAAUAAUUAUUGCUGCCAUGGUCCAUGGAAAGCCAUUGCCUUUUUAAUCGGAAUGCUUUUCAUCUGUAGCUGGUUUCCACAUGGACGUUCUUUCUGAAUUGUGAUGGCUUCUGUUUCAUAUUAUUCUGGAAUUGUUUGGUAGGGUAGCAUUAAGCAACUGAGGAGUGAGGAUUCACCAUAUGAUUACUGGUUAUUCUUAUCCUGCUGUAGUCUGCUUUAUUUUUGUUGUUCUUAGUACAGUGGAUGUUCUCUUCCUUACAGU